This 234-nucleotide ribosomal RNA is filed under the name uncultured bacterium. RNAcentral's name for it is "partial 16S ribosomal RNA". It matches the Rfam family "Bacterial small subunit ribosomal RNA", at positions 114 to 334 of the family's 1533-position model. The record is from RNAcentral.
CGCGUAGGUAAUCUAUCCUUACAUUUGGGAUAACAUUGGGAAACUGGUGCUAAUACCGAAUGGUCUUCAUUGCUUUGGGGCGAUGGAGUAAAGGUGGCCUCUUCAUGAAAGCUACCGUGUAGGGAUGAGCCUGCGUACCUUUAGCUAGUGGAUGGGGUAAUGGCCCACCUAGGCUACGAUGGUUAGCGGGUCUGAGAGGAUGAUCCGCCACACUGGAACUGAAACACGGACCAG